ACUUGAUCAACGACCUAGAAUCACCAUACAUGAAUACAUUUAAAUUCAAUUAACAGAAAUGAAUUAAACUUAAAAGAAAACUACUAACAAUGGCCAUUCUGGGUAAUUACCAACAACAAUCUUGUUCUUCAGUAUUCGAAAAACCUCCACUUCAGCUCCUUGGUUGGUGAUUUGGUUCCCAAAAUCUACACGUAUACACAUAUAUAUGCAUUAGCACCCGUAUUCACCAAACUCAACAACACAAAAAGGAAAAAAAAAGGCUACCGGAUUUGGUUUGGUGCUAUGAAGGCCAAAUAGCUUCACUUUUCCCAAUUUACACUACCGAUGACGAUUUUUUAUUUUUUCGAAAAGACCCCAACUCACUGUGGCGAGGUGAGCACUCUAGCUUUCGAAACCUGCACACACACACAUAUGAAUACC
RNAcentral lists this long non-coding RNA (420 nucleotides) under Carica papaya (papaya). RNAcentral describes it as "long non-coding RNA (CPAP_LNC002526)". The record is from RNAcentral. Lineage: Eukaryota; Viridiplantae; Streptophyta; Magnoliopsida; Brassicales; Caricaceae.